CACUUGGUGGCUGAAGUUUAAGCAUAGGUCUUUUAAACCUAUAAUAGUAUUUUAUACUCCAAGUGA
RNAcentral lists this transfer RNA (66 nucleotides) under Clibanarius infraspinatus. RNAcentral's name for it is "tRNA-Lys". It matches the Rfam family "tRNA". From Rfam's summary of the family: Transfer RNA (tRNA) molecules are approximately 80 nucleotides in length. Their secondary structure includes four short double-helical elements and three loops (D, anti-codon, and T loops). Further hydrogen bonds mediate the characteristic L-shaped molecular structure. tRNAs have two regions of fundamental functional importance: the anti-codon, which is responsible for specific mRNA codon recognition, and the 3' end, to which the tRNAs corresponding amino acid is attached (by aminoacyl-tRNA synthetases). tRNAs cope with the degeneracy of the genetic code in two manners: having more than one tRNA (with a specific anti-codon) for a particular amino acid; and 'wobble' base-pairing, i.e. permitting non-standard base-pairing at the 3rd anti-codon position. Lineage: Eukaryota; Metazoa; Arthropoda; Malacostraca; Decapoda; Diogenidae. The record is from RNAcentral.